RNAcentral lists this ribosomal RNA (500 nucleotides) under uncultured bacterium. RNAcentral's name for it is "bacterial SSU rRNA". It matches the Rfam family "Bacterial small subunit ribosomal RNA", at positions 28 to 507 of the family's 1533-position model. The record is from RNAcentral.
GACGAACGCUGGCGGCGUGCCUAAUACAUGCAAGUCGAGCGGAAUGAUGAAGAAGCUUGCUUCUUCUGAUUUUAGCGGCGGACGGGUGAGUAACACGUGGGCAACCUACCUUGUAGAUUGGGAUAACUCCGGGAAACCGGGGCUAAUACCGAAUAAUCCAUUUUGCUUCAUGGCGAGAUGUUGAAAGACGGUUUCGGCUGUCACUACAAGAUGGGCCCGCGGCGCAUUAGCUAGUUGGUAGGGUAAUGGCCUACCAAGGCGACGACGCGUAGCCGACCUGAGAGGGUGAUCGGCCACACUGGGACUGAGACACGGCCCAGACUCCUACGGGAGGCAGCAGUAGGGAAUCUUCCGCAAUGGACGAAAGUCUGACGGAGCAACGCCGCGUGAGUGAAGAAGGUUUUCGGAUCGUAAAACUCUGUUGUUAGGGAAGAACACGUACGAGAGUAACUGCUCGUACCUUGACGGUACCUAACCAGAAAGCCACGGCUAACUACGUG